This 244-nucleotide ribosomal RNA is filed under the name uncultured bacterium. RNAcentral's name for it is "partial 16S ribosomal RNA". It matches the Rfam family "Bacterial small subunit ribosomal RNA", at positions 109 to 354 of the family's 1533-position model. The record is from RNAcentral.
AGUAACGCGUGGAUAACCUGCCUUACACUGGGGGAUAACACUUAGAAAUAGGUGCUAAUACCGCAUAAGCGCACAGAGCCGCAUGGCUCAGUGUGAAAACUUCGGUGGUGUAAGAUGGAUCCGCGUCUGAUUAGCUGGUUGGCGGGGUAGAAGCCCACCAAGGCGACGAUCAGUAGCCGGCCUGAGAGGGUGAACGGCCACAUUGGGACUGAGACACGGCCCAAACUCCUACGGGAGGCAGCAG